This 129-nucleotide ribosomal RNA is filed under the name Vulpes vulpes (red fox). RNAcentral's name for it is "partial small subunit ribosomal RNA". The record is from RNAcentral. Lineage: Eukaryota; Metazoa; Chordata; Mammalia; Carnivora; Canidae.
GUUCUAUAACAAAACAAUUCGCCAGAGAACUACUAGCAACAGCUUAAAACUCAAAGGACUUGGCGGUGCUUUAUAUCCCUCUAGAGGAGCCUGUUCUAUAAUCGAUAAACCCCGAUAAACCUCACCACU